UUGUUCGGAAUUACUGGGCGUAAAGGGCGCGUAGGCGGCCUUCUAAGUCGGACGUGAAAGCCCCAGGCUUAACCUGGGAACUGCGUCCGAUACUGGGAGGCUUGGAUUCGGGAGAGGGAUGUGGAAUUCCAGGUGUAGCGGUGAAAUGCGUAGAUAUCUGGAGGAACACCGGUGGCGAAGGCGGCAUCCUGGACCGACAUCGACGCUGAGGCGCGAAAGCUAGGGGAGCAAACGGG
This 236-nucleotide ribosomal RNA is filed under the name uncultured bacterium. RNAcentral describes it as "partial 16S ribosomal RNA". It matches the Rfam family "Bacterial small subunit ribosomal RNA", at positions 541 to 776 of the family's 1533-position model. The record is from RNAcentral.